AGGGUUCGAUUCUGGCUCAGGAUGAACGCUAGCGACAGGCUUAACACAUGCAAGUCGAGGGGCAGCACGGGAGUAGCAAUACUUGGUGGCGACCGGCGCACGGGUGAGUAACGCGUAUGCAACCUACCUAUCAGGAGGGGAAUAACCCGGCGAAAGUCGGACUAAUACCGCAUAAAACAGGGGCACCGCAUGGUGAUAUUUGUUAAAGAAAUUCGCUGAUAGAUGGGCAUGCGUUCCAUUAGGUAGUUGGUGAGGUAACGGCUCACCAAGCCGACGAUGGAUAGGGGAACUGAGAGGUUGGUCCCCCACACUGGUACUGAGACACGGACCAGACUCCUACGGGAGGCAGCGGUGAGGAAUAUUGGUCAAUGGGCGGGAGCCCUGAACCAGCCAAGUCGCGUGAAGGAAGAAGGAUCUAUGGUUCGUAAACUUCUUUUGCAGGGGAAGAAGAAAGUGACGGUACCCUGCGAGGAAGCUCCGGCAAACUACGUGCCAGCCGCCGC
Molecule: ribosomal RNA, 503 nt
Filed under: uncultured bacterium
Lineage: Bacteria
Description: bacterial SSU rRNA
Rfam family: Bacterial small subunit ribosomal RNA
Source: RNAcentral